RNAcentral lists this long non-coding RNA (1558 nucleotides) under Podarcis lilfordi (Lilford's wall lizard). Lineage: Eukaryota; Metazoa; Chordata; Lepidosauria; Squamata; Lacertidae. The record is from RNAcentral.
ACAGGAUUCACUCCAUAAACCUCUCUGUGGUCUUGAAGCCUUGCCUACCCCACCAACCCAAUUGGAAGCUACAGACUUCCCCUUGCUAAGGCCAUCAUUCCUCCUCUGUACUGAGCAUCCCUGUGGACCACAGCAGAAACAUGAAGAUGGAGAGUUGGGGUUAAGGUAGAGCAUGGGAAGUAACUGGUGGAUGGGUGAGAAGACAUCCUUCCUGCUGGCUAACACUAUGGUCUUCUCAGAAUCCCCUGCUGCACUCAGUGGUUGGGACCAAAGGACAAAUUAUGGCGGGAGAAGGCAGGGUUGAGGGAACAAAGCAGAAGGCAGGACCAAAAGAAUAACCAAGGAAUAGGCCAGAGCUCUGGAAAACCUUAUUGCUCAAGCAGAGUUCAGCUGCAGUAGGAAACCAAACAGUCCAGCGCUUGGAGAUAUUUCACUGAGAAGUGGCCACUUGCAGUUCUAUGAUUCAACACAUUGGAUUGCUGCAUGGAGAUCAAGCAGUUCCCAAUAAGGAGGGAUCUCUGAGCAUCUGCUAGAUGAAGAAUUUCACUUUCUGGGCUCAUUAGAAUUUGACCCCUCUGAUUAAAUGAAGGCUUGCAAAAGAUACUUGAAUAAGGAACAUAGCAAAUGUCUGCACGAAUAACUCGUGGGAGGCCUAAACUGUUCUUUGCAGAAAGCAUGACAUUUUCUGCUUUUUGUUCAUGCACUGGGACAAAAUAUACUUCCAUCUUUCUAAAACAAAAGAAGUGCAUUCUCUCCCCUCCUCCACCACCAAAUUGAUCAGGGCUGCAUCUGAUUUCUGAAAAUUCAACACUGCUAUCCAUGACCAGCAGUUCAAACAAGAUUUGCCAGCAGUAUCAUGCAAAAUGGCCUAGUGAUUAGUAUACAAUAAGUCUGUCGCUGAUAGCUAUUUGUAAGCUAAAAGCAUCCAAGCAGAAACAGCCCCAAUGAUUGGUGUCAGAUAAACUAUUCAGCAUCCAGUUGUUCUGGGAACAGCAUGGCGUCCCUGAAAAUUAGCUGUGCCUUUCUAAACACACACACACACACACAAAGAUGAAGAAAGCAAUAUUGACUGGAAUUUGAGGCAUGUAGAAAAGUUUGCAGGACAAGCUUUUUGCAAUCAAUCGCCUCCACCCUUCCCCCACCUGUCCAUAUAAUUCUAAUGCCUCUGAACUUACUAGGUAGAUUUCCAUUCUAUUUCACCAUGCUAAGUAGGAGAACUAGUUGCAUUUACAACCCAGAAAGAGAGAUGCAUGAGUGUGGAGUUUGCUUUAUUUAUUUAUUUAUUUGUUUGUUUGUUUGUUUGUUUGAGACAUACUCUCAGAUCCAAGAAGCUGGGAUGGGUGGACUGCUACCCACUGAGUCUGGUAGGGUGUACGGUAGGGCGGACAACAGUAGGUGGUGCUAGAGGCGAUGAGAAUCAGAGCCAACUAAUUCUGGUGUUGUUCCCAUCCUUCUCCCUGUUGAGUUCUACAAGGGCAACACAGAAUGAGGAGGAAGCUGAAAGGCCAUGCUGUCCCUUGGACUGGUUGUAAAUGAGAAGGCAGAAGAGAAGACUGAG